UUGGUCCUCAGAUCCAGCAUCCUUCACUCAUUUCCAGUGAUCCCAAGGUCCUCACAACAUGCUACCACAUAAACUGGGGCCACUCGAGAUCUUGCUACCAACACUACUUGCCACAGGAUGCUCCUUCACAGCCUUUCUGCCCCAGGGAUCUGUCAUUGAACUCAGCCUGAGUCCAGCAGCAUUCACUCAAAACUCCCACUGGAUCUAGAAGGAACAUUAAAUAAAACCAGCUGCACUUUGCUGUCACAGCCUAAGUGCAUUAAUGUCUUUUUAUCUACAUGGGGGCACUGCAGCUGACCCCUGUUUCCAUGCAAUUGGUGUUAAUAAAAUCUUUCUCUGCAGAAGUGACAAGGGAAAGAUACACUUCAAUUGGCAUGUUUUAUCUGAAUUUAAAUUUGAGUGCGAGUCUCAUGAUUCAUAAAAACCUGCGUUGAUAACUCUGAACCACGACCCUCCUCUGAGACCAGCUUUUGGGCUGACUAUUUCUGAAGAAAAUGCUUAGGAAACAUCUAUAUAAGGCAGCCCCCAGCGCUGGCUUACAAUCAAGUCAUCUUUGAAACACUUAUUUCAGCCAGUUUAGGUUACUUGCACUGCAAAAUUAGAAGCAAAAAUUGUCCACAGACAAAGAAUUAUAAAGAGCAUACGGGAAAUAAGAUACAGAAUAGGUCUUGAAUCUUGGACGAAAACUGGUUAGGUUAGAUUUAUGUAAGGGUCCUUCGAGCCAAGAAGCAGUAAGCUGAAGCUAAACCUGAGGAAAUUAAAAUAGCUGUUACAGCCUCUUUUUCAGCAAGCGUGGGCAAAGGAGGACAGUAGCUGCAGUCUGUAGCUGAACACAGCUGUCCAACAGCUCCACAGGAGGAAGAAAUGCUAUUGCAAUAGGUGGGAAAGAAGAAGAGAACUGGGCAUGCAGCUGAGCAAGAAACACCUGGCUGGAUCCCUGGAUGCAGCAAUAAAGGAGAGAAAGCUAGUAAGUAUUUUUGGCUACCUACAGAAGCAGGAGGAACAUCUCUGAGGCAUAACAGGCAAAAGGAGAGGUAUGACUGCUGCAGAUGAAGACACAGCCCAGCAACUCUGACAACUUCAGGAUGACAACUCAAGCUUGCAAGGGUCACUGCUUUCCCAGGCAGCACUUCAGAAUCCAAAACCCCUUCUGUGAGCAUGGGGGAAUGGACCAAACCCCCUCAGAGAUAUUCUCUGACAAUAAGUGCACUUAAACUUCUGAUGUGCUCAGAUACAGGGAGACAGAAGCCGGGACAGAAGGAUACAUCUCUCCUGCAAGGCACUGGAGCAUAGCAGCCCAGCAGGAUCUUGCCUUCAGCUAGGAGAAUGCCCUUGUAAUGUUCUCCCUUUUAAAAUCUUUAUGCUUUGA
Neopsephotus bourkii (Bourke's parrot) is the source of this 1369-nucleotide long non-coding RNA. RefSeq lists it as uncharacterized. The transcript has 2 exons. The record is from RefSeq and is a predicted model, not a curated record. Lineage: Eukaryota; Metazoa; Chordata; Aves; Psittaciformes; Psittacidae.